CAAUACCUCCCACAGCCUGUCACCACCUAACCCAGGACAGGAUGUUGUUGUGAGGUCAGCGGUCAAACCAAGAGGAAACUCCGUCCACCACCAUCACUACGGCCCCCAGGCCCAAUUGCUACCUCCCAUUGGCUAUCCCAUGUGGCCCUCGAUGACGUCAUCGCUACCUGAAGGGCAGGGCGGGCCUCAUAUGCCGUCCGUGCAGCAUGUGACCCGCCCCAUCUCAUUGCCCCCACUUAACAUGUAUUAGCCUAGCCCUGAACAAUAUUCCCUAACCCCGAUCUUGAGAUAUUGUCUUCAUAUUUCAAAAUAUAUACAGAUAGAUGAUUGAUUGUAAAUGUAAAAUGUAUACAUUGAUAUUAUGUUUGAUAAGCAUCGUUUCAGUAUAGCCAAAUAUAAUGGUUGAAUGGAGAAUUUGCUUCUUGGCACUGGCAACAUGUUCUAAAUUCAAAUGUGUUGGCCUACUAUGAUUCGUGGUUGCAAAAGAGUGUGCAAAUGACAAAGGUCUGUAAACAUGCAUCAGGACUUCAAAAUAAAUAAAACAAGAUUUGCAAACAUG
This is a long non-coding RNA of Salvelinus sp. IW2-2015, 559 nucleotides long. RefSeq lists it as uncharacterized. NCBI's taxonomy places the organism in Eukaryota, Metazoa, Chordata, Actinopteri, Salmoniformes, Salmonidae. The record is from RefSeq and is a predicted model, not a curated record.